This 413-nucleotide unclassified non-coding RNA is filed under the name soil metagenome. RNAcentral's name for it is "partial contains 5.8S ribosomal RNA, internal transcribed spacer 2, and large subunit ribosomal RNA". The stretch from base 1 to 121 matches the Rfam family "5.8S ribosomal RNA", at positions 35 to 154 of the family's 154-position model. The record is from RNAcentral.
GAUGAAGAACGUAGCGAAAUGCGAUAAGUAGUGUGAAUUGCAGAAGUACCGUGAAUCAUCGAAUCUUUGAACGCAAAUUGCACUCUCUGGUAUUCCGGGGAGUAUGCCUGUUUGAGGGUCGCUUAACAAACCAUCGAUUUCGUUGCUUUUUUUUUUUAAAAAGUGAUGUUUAUCGGAUUUGAGCCGUCUUUUUUUUUUUAUAUUUAAGUGGCUUAAAAUUGAUUUUUUUGGUACGAUCGAAGCGUAUUUUUAUGAUCAAUUUUUGGUUAAAGAAACGCACACGUACCGUUAUUUAUAUGAUGUAAUACGUUUGACUAUUGGAUUUAGUUCAUUCGUAUACGAUAUCUUUCAAUAUUUGACCUCAAAUCAGGUAAGAACACCCGCUGAACUUAAGCAUAUCAAUAAGCGGAGGA